AAUAUAUUCAGUCGCGUUCUCAACGUUAACGGACUGAAUUUUUUCCAUAUGAUAAAUAUACAAGAUGAAUAUUUAAUUCAUACUAAACCCAUCGUAUUUUUCGCGCUUAUAGCUUUUAUCUUUUUGCUUUGUCGGCGGACAACCUUAAUGCAAUAAGCUGGAUAUAAAAUACUGUAAACAAUAUAGGACCUAACACUGAACCUUGUCGGACACCACUUCUAAUAGUCUUUUCCUCAGAUUGAACAUCUGCACAUUUUACCAUUUGUUUUCUAUAUUAUAUAGAUAGAUAAUUUUCGAACCAUUUUUUGCCCACAUCCAAUCCCAUGCAUAAUGAUCUAAUUUUCUU
Molecule: non-coding RNA, 346 nt
Organism: Paramuricea clavata
Lineage: Eukaryota; Metazoa; Cnidaria; Anthozoa; Malacalcyonacea; Plexauridae
Source: the annotation of a GenBank genome assembly